RNAcentral lists this ribosomal RNA (253 nucleotides) under uncultured bacterium. Its description in RNAcentral is "partial 16S ribosomal RNA". It matches the Rfam family "Bacterial small subunit ribosomal RNA", at positions 524 to 776 of the family's 1533-position model. The record is from RNAcentral.
UACAGAGGUCUCGAGCGUUGUUCGGAUUCAUUGGGCGUAAAGGGUGCGUAGGCGGCGAGGUAAGUCGGAUGUGAAAUCCCGGGGCUCAACCCCGGAACUGCAUUCGAUACUGCCCCGCUUGAGGACUGGAGAGGAGACUGGAAUUCACGGUGUAGCAGUGAUACGCGUAGAUAUCGUGAGGAAGACCGGUGGCGAAGGCGGGUCUCUGGACAGUUCCUGACGCUGAGGCACGAAGGCCAGGGGAGCAAACGGG